AGCUUUGCACAGUGGCAGUAUCAUAGCCGAUGAGGUUUAUCCGAGGCACAAUUAUUGCUAAUUGAACUUGGUGUCAAUGCAACAUGGAAUUUUGGUUUUGUCCUCUCCUGAAUUUCAAAGUGACUGGCUCCCAAGGCUUCAGCUGUCUGCUUGUAAAGAUUUGUUGUAAACUUUGCCCGUUUAAAUCGUGAA
This 192-nucleotide small nuclear RNA is filed under the name Zalophus californianus (California sea lion). RNAcentral describes it as "U4 spliceosomal RNA (ENSZCAG00015007144.1)". The stretch from base 1 to 69 matches the Rfam family "U4 spliceosomal RNA". The record is from RNAcentral. Lineage: Eukaryota; Metazoa; Chordata; Mammalia; Carnivora; Otariidae.